Molecule: transfer-messenger RNA, 347 nt
Filed under: Lachnospiraceae
Lineage: Bacteria; Bacillati; Bacillota; Clostridia; Lachnospirales
Also listed under: 1 other name
Description: Wujia sp017938485 Standard tmRNA
Rfam family: transfer-messenger RNA
About the family: Bacterial tmRNA, also known as 10Sa RNA or SsrA, is named for its dual tRNA and mRNA-like properties. Its role is to liberate the mRNA from a stalled ribosome.
Source: RNAcentral
GGGGUUGUACUGGUUUCGACGGGGGUUUAGAAAUUAUGGUAGCCGUCGGCGGACCUGAACCGCCUUAACAACGAGGAAUUAAAUAUAAACGCAGACGAAAAUUACGCGUACGCUGCCUAAUGGCAGCUGUCAGCCCUAGGUUCACCGCGACUUAGGUGUCUGGCAUCGACCUUGCGGUAAACUCACUUGCCAAAGCUUUGAGGUAGGUGAAAAUUCAUGAAGCUACCUGGGGGAGUAGCCUGUCCAUGGGCGACUUUUCUGGGGAAAUCUAAAACAUAGGACUGUGACGGGAGAAGCUGUAAUGGAAGAGCCUUCGGACGCGGGUUCGAUUCCCGCCAGCUCCACUU